Molecule: ribosomal RNA, 449 nt
Filed under: uncultured bacterium
Lineage: Bacteria
Description: bacterial SSU rRNA
Rfam family: Bacterial small subunit ribosomal RNA
Source: RNAcentral
UGGGGAAUUUUGGACAAUGGGGGAAACCCUGAUCCAGCAACGCCGCGUGAAUGAAGAAGGCCUUAGGGUUGUAAAGUUCUUUUAUCUGGGAGCAAAAGGUUAUUGUUAAUAGCGAUAAUUGAUGAGAGUACCGGAGGAAUAAGCACCGGCUAACUACGUGCCAGCAGCCGCGGUAAUACGUAGGGUGCGAGCGUUAAUCGGAAUUACUGGGCGUAAAGGGUGCGUAGGCGGUUAAAUAAGUUAGAUGUGAAAUACCUGGGCUUAACCUAGGAGGUGCAUUUAAGACUGUAAAGCUAGAGUUUGUCAGAGGGGGGUAGAAUUCCAAGUGUAGCAGUGAAAUGCGUAGAGAUUUGGAGGAAUACCGAUGGCGAAGGCAGCCCCCUGGGAUAAAACUGACGCUGAAGCACGAAAGCGUGGGUAGCAAACAGGAUUAGAUACCCCCGUAGUCC